AAAAAAUCUAAAAAGUGUAAAGUUAAAACUAAAUGAUAAUGAAUGAAUGGACUGAAAACAUGUUUCAUUUCUUCAUGUGAGUGUGGAACUUUUGAAAUAAUGGUAUGUGUAUUCACACAAAGGAAACCAGUGGCCUGUAACACAAAGAUUAUCAACUAUCGCAAGAGAAUAUAUUCAUUUUACAAUUGGUUCCAUAUACUAAAAUGCACAAACAAUUUAGAAAAUCAGGCAAGCAAUAAAUCACUUGCCCUUAUGUUACAAAAGCCAUGUCAAAAACAAAUCUUUGCUUACACUGGCAAAAAAGAUAGUCUAAACAUUGCUGUGUGCACAUUUAAAAAGAAAAUGGAGAUUUCAGAAAUACUGAUUGCAUGUCUGUUUAUAAAUAUAUAUUUUUUCUUUGCCUUUAGGAAUAACGCUAUUGACAUCAUAAGCUACCUACCCAAGAUUCCAGACUCCUCACACCAAUCCUUGACAGCCAUUGCCGAGUUUGUCACUGACAAUAUGUUCUUUGCUAACCUUCCUACAUUACGCAGAGCUUAUCUAUUGCGAAGGGCGAGCUGAGCAUGUAUUGUACAACGGGAAUGUACUCCUGCAACUACACAACAAUACACAAUCUAUAUGAAAUCAAACAAGUGGCUAAAGGAACAGACAGACCAGAAUGACGUUUGUUCACCGACAUGGUCGUGAAAUUGAAUGAGAAUUAGAUCCGCUAUAGUACUGGUAACACCACUCCUUAUCAUUGUCUUAUAUUACGUUCACUUUAUAAAUACGAUAGUGACAUAACAGGAUAAGUUGAAUAACUUUGUAUAACAAGAGGUGACCCAAUCUAAUGUAUGAGAUGACUUAAUCCCAGGUCACCUUAAUUUUACUCAAAAUGGCUUUCUUUAUCAUUCCCUUGAGAGUGCCAUUACAUUUUCCUACUAGAGCAUUGGCCUAAGACUGAUACAGGCUGGUCCCUAUCUGCCUAAUCCCUAAACUCUUCCACAGCUAUUACAUGAGGAUUAACAUGACACUUGUCCCCUGGUCAGACAUUAUUUCGUCGAAAAUACUCACCCUACUAAAAAUCGUAUUUAACAUAUUAGCAAACCAUGAAACUUCAACAAAAGGACAAGGUACAGCAGAUACUAGAGCUUCUGUGUAUCUAGUGCCAUAAUCACAUACUACGAGGAUGUAUUUGUUUCCAUUUCCAGUACAAGGUAGUAGCUGAACAAUAUCCAUAGAUAUUUUCCUGAAUAGAAUUUGAAUUACAAGUACUGAUACCAUAUUUAGUUUACUCCCUGCCCAGCACUUUUUGAUAAAAUCCACAGGUCUUAAAAAAACUCAGCUACAUCCCUCAAAUUACCAAGCCAAUAGAAGAUUUGCAUUAGACGAUGUUAUGUCUUCCAACUAUUAAAUGUCCAGCUGUUAAAUUGCCAUAGGCAACCUGAAAUAGCUUUAAUAUGUACUGCUUAAGUACCACAAUUUGCCUAAACCUCCCCCCUUUCUGUUAAAUCUUAGUAAACUACUUCCUCAUAAGGAUUUCAUAAAGGUGAAACAGCUUGUAACACCAAAAACAAAUGCCAAAAUUCCAACAUGUGGUCAACGUUGGUGUCUUU
Molecule: long non-coding RNA, 1595 nt
Filed under: Lytechinus variegatus (green sea urchin)
Lineage: Eukaryota; Metazoa; Echinodermata; Echinoidea; Temnopleuroida; Toxopneustidae
Description: uncharacterized LOC121413224
Source: RNAcentral